UACGUAGGGUGCAAGCGUUAUUCGGAAUUACUGGGCGUAAAGCGUGCGCAGGCGGUUAUGUAAGUCAGGUGUGAAAUCCCCGGGCUUAACCUGGGAACUGCAUUUGUGACUGCAUCGCUUGAGUGCGGCAGAGGGGGAUGGAAUUCCGCGUGUAGCAGUGAAAUGCGUAGAUAUGCGGAGGAACACCGAUGGCGAAGGCAAUCCCCUGGGCCUGCACUGACGCUCAUGCACGAAAGCGUGGGGAGCAAACAGG
This 253-nucleotide ribosomal RNA is filed under the name uncultured bacterium. Its description in RNAcentral is "partial 16S ribosomal RNA". It matches the Rfam family "Bacterial small subunit ribosomal RNA", at positions 524 to 776 of the family's 1533-position model. The record is from RNAcentral.